CCAGGAUGUACGACGGCAUGUUUCAAGGAUAACAAUACGUCAGCGACGCCCUCGCCAUUACCAUUGUUUGUCCUUGGUACGCAAUCGCCCCUUGGACAUCCCCAACUGCAAAAACGCUUUUUAAAAUUAUAAGCAGUCUGAUUGGAAAAUAAAAAAAAUUUAUGGAGACACGCGUAACAAACAAACAAACAAACGAACGAACGAACAAUCAAACACAUACUCGUACGUAUACAGAAUAUUUAUAUAUCUAUACAUAAGAUAUAUGAAAUUACUUACUUGUAUGUACCCGAACAAGGACUGAACAAACCAGGCAAUGGAUCCAAAUCCAAUGGUGGAAAACCUGCCAUAUCGUCGACCCAAAAACCACUACCAAAUUCACCACCAACCACUUGGCCUUGGCCUGAAUUCGUUUGAAUUUGUUGAGUUUGAUCUGGCCCCGUAAUAUCCUCCGUGGAGGCUUGUAAAUCUUGCAAACGUAAUGUACCUUGCAAUGCACUUAACGUUUCUUCAUUUUGAUUGUCGGUCAAGGUAUCGUCGUUUGUAAGAACACCCAACGAACCGGUACAAAGCCCAGAUGGUAUGGUUGCUUCGAUUGUACCCACCGAUCCUAUGAAUUAUAAAUAUAUAUAUAUAUAUGUACUGUGUAUAUAUAUAUAUUUAUAUGUUUAUAAAUAUAUAUAUAUAUAUAUGUAAAUAAAAUAAUUUUUUAAAAUUU
Long non-coding RNA from Vespula vulgaris, 715 nucleotides. RefSeq lists it as uncharacterized. The transcript has 2 exons. The record is from RefSeq and is a predicted model, not a curated record. Lineage: Eukaryota; Metazoa; Arthropoda; Insecta; Hymenoptera; Vespidae.